This is a microRNA precursor of Oryza rufipogon (brownbeard rice), 207 nucleotides long. It matches the Rfam family "MIR812 microRNA precursor family". The record is from Rfam. NCBI's taxonomy places the organism in Eukaryota, Viridiplantae, Streptophyta, Magnoliopsida, Poales, Poaceae.
AAUAAGUGCAAUUUUGCACUAUUCACAUUCAACGUUUGACCGUUCGUCUUAUUUGAAAUUUUUUUAUGAUUAGUAUUUUUAUUGCUAUUAGAUGAUAAAACAUGAAUAGUACUUUAUGUGUGACUAAGUAUUUUUAAUUUUUCACAAAAUUUUCAAAUAAGACGGACGGUCAAACGUUGGGCAUGGAUAUUCACGGCUGCACUUAUU